GAUGAAGAACGCAGCGAAAUGCGAUAAGUAAUGUGAAUUGCAGAAUUCAGUGAAUCAUCGAAUCUUUGAACGCACCUUGCGCCCUUUGGCCAUUCCGAAGGGCAUGCCUGUUUGAGUAUCAUGAACACCUCAACUCUUUAUGGUUUUCCAUGAUGAGCUUGGACUCUGGGGGUUUUGCUGGCUCACAGUCGGCUCCUCUAAAAUGAAUCAGCUUACCAGUGUUUGGUGGGUAUCAUGGGUGUGAUAACUAUCUACGCUUGCGGUUUUUCCACCAGGUAACCUUCAGCAGUGGAGGUUCGCUGGAGCUCAUAGAUGUCUCUCCUCAGUGAGGACAGCCCUUUGAAUGUUUGAUCUCAAAUCAGGUAGGACUACCCGCUGAACUUAAGCAUAUCAAUAAGCGGAGGA
Molecule: unclassified non-coding RNA, 405 nt
Filed under: soil metagenome
Description: partial contains 5.8S ribosomal RNA, internal transcribed spacer 2, and large subunit ribosomal RNA
Rfam family: 5.8S ribosomal RNA (bases 1-121)
Source: RNAcentral